Molecule: unclassified non-coding RNA, 331 nt
Filed under: soil metagenome
Description: partial contains 5.8S ribosomal RNA, internal transcribed spacer 2, and large subunit ribosomal RNA
Rfam family: 5.8S ribosomal RNA (bases 1-120)
Source: RNAcentral
GAUGAAGAACGUAGCGAAAUGCGAUAAGUAAUGUGAAUUGCAGAAUUCAGUGAAUCAUCGAAUCUUUGAACGCACAUUGCGCCCCCUGGUAUUCCGGGGGGCAUGCCUGUUCGAGCGUCAUUUCACCACUCAAGCCUCGCUUGGUAUUGGGCAACGCGGUCCGCCGCGUGCCUCAAAUCGUCCGGCUGGGUCUUCUGUCCCCUAAGCGUUGUGGAAACUAUUCGCUAAAGGGUGUUCGGGAGGCUACGCCGUAAAACAACCCCAUUUCUAAGGUUGACCUCGGAUAAGGUAGGGAUACCCGCUGAACUUAAGCAUAUCAAUAAGCGGAGGA